ACGCACGCUGGCGGCGUGCUUAACACAUGCACGUCGCACGGAAAGGCCCUGCUUUUGUGGGGUGCUCGAGUGGCGAACGGGUGAGUAACACGUGAGUAACCUGCCCUUGACUUUGGGAUAACUUCAGGAAACUGGGGCUAAUACCGGAUAGGAGCUCCUGCUGCAUGGUGGGGGUUGGAAAGUUUCGGCGGUUGGGGAUGGACUCGCGGCUUAUCAGCUUGUUGGUGGGGUAGUGGCUUACCAAGGCUUUGACGGGUAGCCGGCCUGAGAGGGUGACCGGCCACAUUGGGACUGAGAUACGGCCCAGACUCCUACGGGAGGCAGCAGUGGGGAAUAUUGCACAAUGGGCGGAAGCCUGAUGCAGCAACGCCGCGUGCGGGAUGACGGCCUUCGGGUUGUAAACCGCUUUCGCCUGUGACGAAGCGUGAGUGACGGUAAUGGGUAAAGAAGCACCGGCUAACUACGUG
Molecule: ribosomal RNA, 467 nt
Filed under: uncultured bacterium
Lineage: Bacteria
Description: partial 16S ribosomal RNA
Rfam family: Bacterial small subunit ribosomal RNA
Source: RNAcentral